GAUGAACGCUGGCGGCGUGCCUAAUACAUGCAAGUCGAGCGAACAGACGAGGAGCUUGCUCCUCUGACGUUAGCGGCGGACGGGUGAGUAACACGUGGAUAACCUACCUAUAAGACUGGGAUAACUUCGGGAAACCGGAGCUAAUACCGGAUAAUAUAUUGAACCGCAUGGUUCAAUAGUGAAAGACGGUUUUGCUGUCACUUAUAGAUGGAUCCGCGCCGCAUUAGCUAGUUGGUAAGGUAACGGCCUACCAAGGCAACGAUGCGUAGGCGAACUGAGGGGGUGAUCGGCCACACUGGAACUGAGACACCGUCCAGACUCCUACGGGAGGCCGCAGUAGGGAAUCUUCCGCAAUGGUCGGAAGCAUGACGGAGCAACGCCGCGUGAGUGAUGAAGGUCUUCGGAUCGUAAAACUCUGUUAUUAGUGAAGAACAAAUGUGUAAGUAAAUGUGCACGUCUUGACGGUACCUAGUCAGAAAGCCACGGCUAACUACGUG
Molecule: ribosomal RNA, 497 nt
Filed under: uncultured bacterium
Lineage: Bacteria
Description: partial 16S ribosomal RNA
Rfam family: Bacterial small subunit ribosomal RNA
Source: RNAcentral